Molecule: ribosomal RNA, 237 nt
Filed under: uncultured bacterium
Lineage: Bacteria
Description: partial 16S ribosomal RNA
Rfam family: Bacterial small subunit ribosomal RNA
Source: RNAcentral
CGAACGGGUGAGUAACGCGUGAGGAACCUGCCUCAAAGAGGGGGACAACAGUUGGGAACGACUGCUAAUACCGCAUAAGCCCACGGCUCGGCAUCGAGCAGAGGGAAAAGGAGUGAUCCGCUUUGAGAUGGCCUCGCGUCCGAUUAGCUAGUUGGUGAGGUAACGGCCCACCAAGGCGACGAUCGGUAGCCGGACUGAGAGGUUGAACGGCCACAUUGGGACUGAGACACGGCCCAG